This 1809-nucleotide long non-coding RNA is filed under the name Gossypium barbadense (sea-island cotton). Its description in RNAcentral is "long non-coding RNA (GBAR_LNC001092)". Lineage: Eukaryota; Viridiplantae; Streptophyta; Magnoliopsida; Malvales; Malvaceae. The record is from RNAcentral.
UCAUAUUUAAUCCAUCACCAAAUUCAAUUUAUAUGAUUUUUAGUAAAUUUUCAAACUCAUGUCAGAGUUGCUGCAAUAUUCUGUUUAUGGCAAAUUUCAUCUUUUCAUGAGUUUUUAUGAUCUAGAUAACAUAUUAAACUUCCAUGACAUCAAACAUGAUCUAACUUAGCAUUUUCCAUGACUUAUCAUUAUUAAGCAUUUUCUCAACCAAAUCAUGGCCUUAUCACAAAAUUAUUUACACAAAAUAGGUGUAUUGCUAUACAUGCCAUACUUAAGUUUUACAAGCCAUUUACCAAAAAGAGUCCUUCGGAUAGUGUGAUCGAACCUUCGACCUGUCCCGAUUCCUAAGCCGGCUUAUUCAAAACUACAAUGAAAAGGAGGGAAUAAGCAUAAAUGCUUAGUAAGUCAUAUGCAAAUAACAAGUAACAUAACAAUACAAUUAUACCAAACAACCUUAGCAUGGUAUCACCAAAACAUAUAUCACAUUUCUAAACAUCAUUAAUCAUCUUACCGCCUUAUCGUUGUUGUAUCUAUUUUCAACCCGAAGGUUAAGUACAUACCUGUCCAAAGUGUCCAUUUCACAAUACUUACCAAUACGUCACCGGCAUCUUAAGUGUUCUUCCAUUUCACUAGAAAUUUUACCCGUUGAACACAUUGGACUAUUACUCGGAUACAUGGAUAAUUUGCACAUAAGUGCCACAUUUGUAGCCAAGCUACCAUGUAACCCGCCCAUAAGUGAACUCGGACUCAACUCAAUGAGCUCGGGCGUUCACAUCCAUAAGUGAACUCGGACUCAACUCAACGAGUUCGGAUGCCUAGUUACAUCUCAUGAACUCGGACUCAACUCAACGAGUUCGGACAUUUCACAUCCAUAAGUGAACUCGGACUCAACUCAACAAGUUCGGAUGUUCAACCAUCCUAGUGACAUGUCACUUGUAUCCUAAUCUAUUCCUAAGGUUCAAACGGGAUUUUCCUCGAACACAUCUCCUUGCCAUCUUCCGUAAAAUACCAAAACCAAUACUCGGUAGCACUUUAUAUUUAACAAAUAAUACACUUAAUUUGCAUUUUAUUCGAAAAUAACCACAAAGCAUAUAUUUCAUGAUAAAAAUCAGCAUAUCAUAUAUUUAACAUCAAUAGCUUAAAAAUAACAAUUAUGCUACCUUAUUUACACAUGAACUUAUCUCGGUACAAAAUUUUUAACAAUCGAGCCUAUUCCUCGUAAACUUUGUUUUUCUCUCAAUCACGACUUGAAUCUCGUUUCUCUUGAUCUCUAUUACCAAAUUAAUCUUAUUUAAUACAUACAUUCAUUAAAACAGUCCUUAAUACGAACUUUGGAAAAAUUACCAUUUUACCCCUAAACUUUUGCAUAAUUACACUUUUGCCCCUAGGCUCGGGAAUUAAACUUCAUCUCUUAUUAUUAUGUUUUAUGACAUUCUGAUCAUUUUUUCCUUCUAUGGCAACAUCAAAUUCUCACUCUAACAUGUAUUUAUGACUACUAAAUAUUUUUACCGAUUAAGCCUUUUUACUCGUUUUUACUCAAAACCGAGUAGCACAAGUUGUCUAACAAAAUUUAAAACCUCAUAUUCUGUCAUAAAAUACCAAAAUACACAAAUUUCACCUAUGGGUAUUUUUCCAAAUAUGAACCAUAGGUUGAAUUAUUGUUAACAUAAGCUAAAUCGAGCUACCGGGAUUUCAAAAACAUAAAAAUCAUUAAAAACGGGGCUUGAAAUCACUUACUAUGAAGUUUGAAAGUUGAAGAAACCCAGCUAUGGAGGAGAGCAAAAAUCGGCAGAACAGCAUGGAGAAGAU